CCUACGGGAUGCAGCAGUGGGGAAUAUUGGACAAUGGGGGAAACCCUGAUCCAGCGACGCCGCGUGAGUGAAGAAGUAUUUCGGUACGUAAAGCUCUAUCAGCAGGGAAGAAAAUGACGGUUACCGACUAAGAAGCCCCGGCUAAAUACGUGCCAGCAGCCCCGGUAAUACGUAGGGGGCCAGAGUUUUACGGAUUUACGGGGUGUAAAGGGAGCGUAGGCGGCAGCGGAAGUCUGGAGUGAAAUGCCGGGGCCCAACCCCGGAACUGCUCAGGAAACUGGGAAGGUGGAGGGCAGGAGAGGUAAGCGGAAUUCCUGGUGUAGCGGUGAAAUGCGUAGAUAUCAGGAGGAACACCAGCGGCGAAGGCGGCUUACUGGACUGUAACUGACGUUGAGGCUCGAAGGCGUGGGGAGCAAACAGGAUUAGAUACCCCAGUAGUC
Molecule: ribosomal RNA, 440 nt
Filed under: uncultured bacterium
Lineage: Bacteria
Description: partial 16S ribosomal RNA
Rfam family: Bacterial small subunit ribosomal RNA
Source: RNAcentral